GAGGAAGAUACUCGACGAGGGGAAGGAGCAUCUUAAUGAAUAGCAAAGGGUCAUGUGGGUACAUUGAAUCCCGCCUGCCGGAUGGCAUUAAGCAUGCGACAAUGUUGAGCCAGGGUGGAUGUGAGGAAGCUGACAACAAAAAGGAUGCAGGGGUUCCAAAGACUGCUGCCGGGACUGCCUGCGAGACUACCGGGACAAGCUGAAGAAUCAGAUACACGAGUUGGGCGAGAACAUUACCUUGAUCGAGUCAGUGGCGUCCAAGGGCGCUGGCAAUGAAUUUAUUUUCCUCGUAGACCGGUGAUCCUAGAUUUGAACUUUAAGCGCCUUCGGCUGAUGUAUUCUUGCAUUUACUUUCUCUUCAUAGCUAGCUGGUGUUGGCUUCCUCAUAUUGAAGCUUGUGGUGAAGUCUGGUUUGCUGGCAUGCAUUUCCUGGGUGUCUCCUCUGUUACGACCAUAUUUUGUAUUCAGGGUGUUAGACCUGGUAUUUGCUAUGUCGUGCCUGUUGUGCAUAUGCAUUUAUGGGCACCGAGUAGAAGGAAAAUAUAUGUAGAUGCUUGUAUAUAGAGAAAUAUUUGUAUGUGAAGUUUCGCAGCUGCCUCAACUCCUGCGAGGUCGCUC
This is a long non-coding RNA of Lolium rigidum, 618 nucleotides long. RefSeq lists it as uncharacterized. The transcript is spliced from 3 exons. NCBI's taxonomy places the organism in Eukaryota, Viridiplantae, Streptophyta, Magnoliopsida, Poales, Poaceae. The record is from RefSeq and is a predicted model, not a curated record.